AGGGAAUAUUGGGCAAUGGGCGAAAGCCUGACCCAGCCAUGCCGCGUGAAGGAUGAAGGCCUUCUGGGUUGUAAACUUCUUUUAUAUAGGAAGAAAAAGGUCAUGCGUGACCAAUUGACGGUACUAUAUGAAU
This 133-nucleotide ribosomal RNA is filed under the name uncultured bacterium. Its description in RNAcentral is "partial 16S ribosomal RNA". It matches the Rfam family "Bacterial small subunit ribosomal RNA", at positions 356 to 487 of the family's 1533-position model. The record is from RNAcentral.